This 24-nucleotide non-coding RNA is filed under the name Arabidopsis thaliana (thale cress). The record is from RNAcentral. Lineage: Eukaryota; Viridiplantae; Streptophyta; Magnoliopsida; Brassicales; Brassicaceae.
UCUCAAGGUCACUCGAUCGCCAAG